RNAcentral lists this ribosomal RNA (1110 nucleotides) under uncultured bacterium. RNAcentral's name for it is "bacterial SSU rRNA". It matches the Rfam family "Bacterial small subunit ribosomal RNA", at positions 353 to 1482 of the family's 1533-position model. The record is from RNAcentral.
AGUGGGGAAUAUUGCACAAUGGGGGAAACCCUGAUGCAGCGACGCCGCGUGAAGGAAGAAGGUCUUCGGAUUGUAAACUUCUUUGAUUGGGGACGAAAUAUGACGGUACCCAAGGAACAAGCCACGGCUAACUACGUGCCAGCAGCCGCGGUAAUACGUAGGUGGCAAGCGUUGUCCGGAAUUACUGGGUGUAAAGGGCGUGUAGGCGGGAGUGUAAGUCAGAUGUGAAAACCCGGAGCUCAACUUCGGGAUUGCAUCUGAAACUAUGCUUCUUGAGUGCUGGAGAGGAAAGCGGAAUUCCUAGUGUAGCGGUGAAAUGCGUAGAUAUUAGGAGGAACACCAGUGGCGAAGGCGGCUUUCUGGACAGUAACUGACGCUGAGGCGCGAAAGCGUGGGGAGCGAACAGGAUUAGAUACCCUGGUAGUCCACGCUGUAAACGAUGGAUACUAGGUGUAGGAGGUAUCGACCCCUUCUGUGCCGGAGUUAACACAAUAAGUAUCCCACCUGGGGAGUACGGCCGCAAGGUUGAAACUCAAAGGAAUUGACGGGGGCCCGCACAAGCAGUGGAGUAUGUGGUUUAAUUCGAUGCAACGCGAAGAACCUUACCAGGGCUUGACAUCCCUUGACGUUCUAAGAAAUUAGGAUUCCCUUCGGGGCAAGGAGACAGGUGGUGCAUGGUUGUCGUCAGCUCGUGUCGUGAGAUGUUGGGUUAAGUCCCGCAACGAGCGCAACCCUUGUUGUUAGUUGCCAGCAUUCAGUUGGGCACUCUAACAAGACUGCCGGUGACAAAUCGGAGGAAGGUGGGGACGACGUCAAAUCAUCAUGCCCCUUAUGUCCUGGGCUACACACGUACUACAAUGGCUAUUACAAUGGGAAGCAAAACCGCGAGGUAGAGCAAAUCCUGUAAAGAUAGUCCCAGUUCGGAUUGCAGGCUGAAACUCGCCUGCAUGAAGUCGGAAUUGCUAGUAAUGGCAGGUCAGCAUACUGCCGUGAAUACGUUCCCGGGCCUUGUACACACCGCCCGUCACACCAUGAGAGUUUGCAACACCCGAAGUCAGUAGCAUAACCGCAAGGAGUGCGCUGCCGAAGGUGGGGCAGAUGAUUGGGGUG